Molecule: ribosomal RNA, 428 nt
Filed under: uncultured bacterium
Lineage: Bacteria
Description: bacterial SSU rRNA
Rfam family: Bacterial small subunit ribosomal RNA
Source: RNAcentral
UCGAGAAUCAUUCACAAUGGGGGAAACCCUGAUGGUGCGACGCCGCGUGGGGGAUGAAGGGCUUAGGUCCGUAAACCCCUGUCAUUUGUGAGAAAUUCAUGCGAACUAAUAAUUCGUAUGUUGAUAGUAGCAAAAGAGGAAGGGACGGCUAACUCCGUGCCAGCAGCCGCGGUAAUACGGAGGUCCCAAGCGUUGUUCGGAUUCACUGGGCGUAAAGGGUGCGUAGGCGGUGGGGAAAGUUCGAUGUGAAAGCUCCAAGCUCAACUUGGAAACUGCAUUGAAAACUAACUCACUAGAGGAUCGGAGAGGGGAGUGGAAUUCUUGGUGUAGCAGUGAAAUGCGUAGAUAUCAAGAGGAACACCAGUGGCGAAGGCGACUCCCUGGACGAAUCCUGACGCUGAGGCACGAAGGCUAGGGGAGCAAACAGG